This 520-nucleotide ribosomal RNA is filed under the name Allobacillus halotolerans. RNAcentral describes it as "bacterial SSU rRNA". It matches the Rfam family "Bacterial small subunit ribosomal RNA", at positions 495 to 1014 of the family's 1533-position model. Lineage: Bacteria; Bacillati; Bacillota; Bacilli; Caryophanales; Bacillaceae. The record is from RNAcentral.
GGCUAACUACGUGCCAGCAGCCGCGGUAAUACGUAGGUGGCAAGCGUUAUCCGGAAUUAUUGGGCGUAAAGCGCGCGCAGGCGGUUUCUUAAGUCUGAUGUGAAAGCCCACGGCUUAACCGUGGAGGGUCAUUGGAAACUGGGGAACUUGAGUACAGAAGAGGAGAGUGGAAUUCCACGUGUAGCGGUGAAAUGCGUAGAGAUGUGGAGGAACACCAGUGGCGAAGGCGACUCUCUGGUCUGUAACUGACGCUGAGGCGCGAAAGCGUGGGUAGCAAACAGGAUUAGAUACCCUGGUAGUCCACGCCGUAAACGAUGAGUGCUAGGUGUUAGGGGUUCCAACCCUUAGUGCUGCAGUUAACGCAAUAAGCACUCCGCCUGGGGAGUACGGCCGCAAGGCUGAAACUCAAAGGAAUUGACGGGGGCCCGCACAAGCGGUGGAGCAUGUGGUUUAAUUCGACGCAACGCGAAGAACCUUACCAGGUCUUGACAUCCCGCUGACCGGCCUAGAGAUAGGCCUU